This 137-nucleotide RNase P RNA is filed under the name Gammaproteobacteria bacterium. Its description in RNAcentral is "partial RNase P RNA component class A". It matches the Rfam family "Bacterial RNase P class A", at positions 1 to 140 of the family's 367-position model. Rfam says of the family: Ribonuclease P (RNase P) is a ubiquitous endoribonuclease, found in archaea, bacteria and eukarya as well as chloroplasts and mitochondria. Its best characterised activity is the generation of mature 5'-ends of tRNAs by cleaving the 5'-leader elements of precursor-tRNAs. Lineage: Bacteria; Pseudomonadati; Pseudomonadota; Gammaproteobacteria. The record is from RNAcentral.
UGAGUUGGCCAAGACAAUCGCUGCCUGCGCAAGCAGGGGGAGGAAAGUCCGGGCUCCACAGGGCAGGGUGCCAGGUAACGCCUGGGGGGCGUGAGCCUACGACCAGUGCAACAGAGAGCAAACCGCCGAUGGCCCAC